UGACUGGCGGGGGCCCGCGCGCGACCUUCUGGGAGCAGUAGUCCCGGCGCGGGGCGUCGCGCCCAGUGACGUCAGAGAGCCCGUGGCCGGCCCUGGGUCCCACCGCUGCCGGCCCAGCGCUUUGGGGAGUGACUUCCGGCCAUGCGGGGCCUCUACCGCUGCCAUCGCGGUCCCGGUCUCCUGAAGUGGAACCCGGCUUGGAGUCGAGCGCGACCCCUCGCCCGUGGGCGCAGGCGAUCGAGUAAGGGUGGGGCGGGCCUCAAACCCGGAUCAGAACCCGCCCUGACCGGCGCAGAGAUACGGGACGCAGCCUAAGCAAGGCCCGGGAAGAAGUUGGGUUUCCCUGCCAUCCUUCCUGCCCCAGCCCCUCAUCCUCAACUCACCAUCAACCCUUCCACGAUCCCAAAUCGCUCGUGGAUGACUUUGGCGAGGGGAGCCAAACAGUUGGUGGUGCAGGACGCGUUGCUGAAACAGCCAAGGUGUGCACGGACACUGUGAGGUGGUGACCUCCCCAACUCAGCCCUCAACCUCCUCAGAGGCGCCAAUGCUGACUGCUGUCAGCCAGCCCAGACCCUUUCUCCAUAUGCUGCCCGGGACGUGGACUCUGUGACUGUGAGGCCUGCCCGGCUGCUUUCUGCUUCCCAGCUCUGACAACCUCGCCAUGAACCCUCCUAGACCCUCAGCUCCUGCAAUAGGAAGCUGGCUGCCAAAGGCCAGGAGGGUCCCUGAAAACAGACACUGCAUUAAAGAAAAAGCUCCUGGAGGACUCCUGAAGCCUGAGGCAGCCUUGGGGCAGCAGUGGCUCAUGGUUUACAUUGGAAAGGUUUAUCAUGAGUAACCGGGUGCUUUGCUUCUGUGAUUCUUGGCCAGUGUCGGUCUGUUUCCUUUGCCAUUGAGCCUGCUCCCCUCAAUGGGGGGUUCAAUCAAUGUUUGUGGGGUUUGUUUGUUUUGAGACAGGGUCUUCCUCUGUCGCCCAGGCUGGAGUGCAGUGGUGCAAUCAGAGCUCACUGCAGCCUUGAUCUUCCUGGCUCCGGCCAUCCUCCUGCCUUGGCCUCCCGAGUAGCUGGGACUACAGGCGCACACCACCAUGCCAAGCUAAUUUUUAAAUUUUUUUGUAGAGAUGGGGUCUCACUUUUGUUGCCCAGGGUGCUUUAGAACCCCUGGGCUCAAGUGAUCCUUGACCUCCCACAGUGCUGGGAUUACAGGUGUGAGCCACCGUGCCUGGCCUCAUGGGUUUUCUUUGUUUUGUUUUGUUUUGUUUUUGAGACAGAGUCUCACUCUGUCACUCAGGCUGGAGUGCAGUGGCACGAUUUUGGCUCACUGCAACCUCCACCUUCCGGGUUCAAGCGAUUCUCCUGCCUCCGCCUCCCGAGUAGUUGGGGUUACAGGCAUGCGCUACCACACCUGGCUAGUUUUUUAUUGUUGUUGUUUUUUGUAUUUUUAGUGGUGACGGGGUUUGCUCUGUUGGCCAGGCUGGUCUCAAACUCCUGACCUCAGGUGAUCCCCACUUCAGCCUCCCAAAGUGCUGGGAUGACAGGCAUGAGCCUCUGCACCUGGCCUCGUGUUUUUUUUUUAGUUAGCCAUUUUAUACGUGUUUACUGAACACCUGUCCUGUGCCCAUAUUCUAAGUGCCUUACCUGCAUUAAACUCAUGUAACCUUCACAACCCGAUGAGGAAGUGCUACCGCUGUCAUUUUUUGCAUUUUUUUACUGCUGUCAGGGCAGAGGGGAGGGGAGUGAGAGGGAGAGCCUGCUGGAGUGCAGGUGGCUGGUCCCACCUCGGGUCUGCACUCCUGUUUCCACUGCCUGAAUGAAUGAAUGAAUGGGCUGCCCUGCAAAGCCAUCACACAUGCAUGGUUAUCCUCUUCCUGUCUCCUGCUCUGUCAGUCCACUUUCCAUCAUCUGGCCCAACGAGCUCUUCUCAGAUACCCCCCAUUUCCUGCCUUCCAAAUUAGGGACACUUGCGAUUCCUCUGCAACAAUUGCUGAGUUGGCCUGAGGCAAAGACUGUGCCCCCAGAAGACCCCAGGCCCUCCCCAAGGCUGUC
RNAcentral lists this long non-coding RNA (2045 nucleotides) under Homo sapiens (human). RNAcentral describes it as "HSALNT0258912". The record is from RNAcentral. Lineage: Eukaryota; Metazoa; Chordata; Mammalia; Primates; Hominidae.